Molecule: ribosomal RNA, 616 nt
Filed under: uncultured bacterium
Lineage: Bacteria
Description: bacterial SSU rRNA
Rfam family: Bacterial small subunit ribosomal RNA
Source: RNAcentral
GGCCCACCAAGGCUACGAUCAGUAGGGGUUCUGAGAGGAAGGUCCCCCACAUUGGAACUGAGACACGGUCCAAACUCCUACGGGAGGCAGCAGUGAGGAAUAUUGGUCAAUGGGCGAGAGCCUGAACCAGCCAAGUAGCGUGCAGGAUGACGGCCCUAUGGGUUGUAAACUGCUUUUAUAAGGGAAUAAAGUGAGUCUCGUGAGACUUUUUGCAUGUACCUUAUGAAUAAGGACCGGCUAAUUCCGUGCCAGCAGCCGCGGUAAUACGGAAGGUCCGGGCGUUAUCCGGAUUUAUUGGGUUUAAAGGGAGCGUAGGCCGGAGAUUAAGCGUGUUGUGAAAUGUAGACGCUCAACGUCUGCACUGCAGCGCGAACUGGUUUCCUUGAGUACGCACAAAGUGGGCGGAAUUCGUGGUGUAGCGGUGAAAUGCUUAGAUAUCACGAAGAACUCCGAUUGCGAAGGCAGCUCACUGGAGCGCAACUGACGCUGAAGCUCGAAAGUGCGGGUAUCGAACAGGAUUAGAUACCCUGGUAGUCCGCACGGUAAACGAUGGAUGCCCGCUGUUGGUCUGAAUAGGUCAGCGGCCAAGCGAAAGCAUUAAGCAUCCCACCUGGGG